RNAcentral lists this ribosomal RNA (317 nucleotides) under Bacillus licheniformis. RNAcentral describes it as "bacterial SSU rRNA". It matches the Rfam family "Bacterial small subunit ribosomal RNA", at positions 1 to 306 of the family's 1533-position model. The record is from RNAcentral. Lineage: Bacteria; Bacillati; Bacillota; Bacilli; Caryophanales; Bacillaceae.
UUUCAUGGAGAGUUUGAUCCUGGCUCAGGACGAACGCUGGCGGCGUGCCUAAUACAUGCAAGUCGAGCGGACCGACGGGAGCUUGCUCCCUUAGGUCAGCGGCGGACGGGUGAGUAACACGUGGGUAACCUGCCUGUAAGACUGGGAUAACUCCGGGAAACCGGGGCUAAUACCGGAUGCUUGAUUGAACCGCAUGGUUCAAUCAUAAAAGGUGGCUUUUAGCUACCACUUACAGAUGGACCCGCGGCGCAUUAGCUAGUUGGUGAGGUAACGGCUCACCAAGGCGACGAUGCGUAGCCGACCUGAGAGGGUGAUCG